This 253-nucleotide ribosomal RNA is filed under the name uncultured bacterium. RNAcentral describes it as "partial 16S ribosomal RNA". It matches the Rfam family "Bacterial small subunit ribosomal RNA", at positions 524 to 776 of the family's 1533-position model. The record is from RNAcentral.
UACGGAGGUGGCAAGCGUUACUCGGAUUGAUUGGGUGUAAAGGGCGUGUAGGUGGUGAAUUAAGUCGAAUGUGAAAUCCCUUGGCUUAACCAAGGAACUGCAUUUGAUACUGAUUUGCUUGAGUGACAGAGAGGAAAGCGGAAUUCCCGGUGUAACAGUGAAAUGUGUAGAUAUCGGGAGGAACACCAGUGGCGAAGGCGGCUUUCUGGCUGUCCACUGACACUGAAACGCGAGAGCUAGGGGAGCAAACAGG